Small nuclear RNA from Octopus sinensis (East Asian common octopus), 106 nucleotides. The record is from RefSeq and is a predicted model, not a curated record. Lineage: Eukaryota; Metazoa; Mollusca; Cephalopoda; Octopoda; Octopodidae.
UUAACAGCUACGGCGGUACAUAUUCUAAACUUGGAACGAUACAGUGAAGGUUAGCAUGCCCUCUACGUAAGGGUGACACGCAAAUUCGGAAACGUUCCAUAUUUUU